Molecule: long non-coding RNA, 1976 nt
Organism: Anolis carolinensis (green anole)
Lineage: Eukaryota; Metazoa; Chordata; Lepidosauria; Squamata; Anolidae
Source: Ensembl
AUGGCAUCAUUAACAUACAAUCAGGAAACACAUCUUGUGGAGGACCACAGUUUCUUAGAUACCACUCAGUGGACCACCCUGGAUCAAUGCACAGGGGAUAGCCCUGACGGGGACAGUGCAUCACCACAGUCACACUUAUGUAAUCAUGCAAAUGCUCCAUCCCCAAUCAUAGACCAGGAGCAACAGGAACAUCCUUGGGAGAGUAAUGGGCUCUCGGAUGUAUCUCAAUGGAUUGUCAUUGAUGAAUGCACUGGGGAUGUUGAGGAGGAGGACAACACUUUACACCUACAUGAUUCACUUCAACAGGAACACUCUUCAGGGGACAUACACACUGUCUUGCACAAAAGGGACCCUGUCAAUCCUCAAAGGAAACAGGUCUUGGUAGUAGGUGACUCCCUCCUUAGAGGAACGGAAGCCAUCAUUUCCAGACCGGAUGGGAUGGCUCGAGAAACAUGCUGCCUCCCGGGGGCAAAAAUACACCAUAUCACUCAGAGGCUCAGCAGGCUCCUAAAGCCCCAUCACCCUCAAACACACCUGAUCCAAAACACUGUUCCUCUUCUCAAGUCACACUCUCUCAGCCCCCAUCCCAGCCGUUCCUUUGAAGCCUGAUGCCCCCCCCCAAAUUGUAUCUGCCCCUGCCACUCAACUCCUGCCACAUUCUGAGUUUUCCUCAGAUGGGAAGAAUCACCCACCAUCCCCCCUCCUUCUCUUGCCCCCACCAGGCUCUCUCUCUCUCUCUCUCUCUCUGCGCUCAUUCCUCUCUUGGAGAGAGAGGAGAAGGAGGGGCUGCGGGGAGAUUGUGCAAAGAGGACACUUUUUUUCUCUUCCUGUUUUUGGAGGGGCAAAGGGGGGAGAAGAUUCAGUCCUGAAGCCUGCCACCAAGAUCUAUAGUUCUCCAAGGAUCGCUUCCUUCUUUCAAAUCAAAUCUUCUCCAACUUGAUAUUCUGCCUUGCCUACCCUCAAAUUGCACCCUUUUUUUUCUUUUCUCUCUCUCUCUCUCUUCCCCGGCCUGAGUGAAAAUCUCUCUCUCUCUCUCAAAUCUCAAAUCCAUUUCUCCUCUCCUUCCUCUCUUCUCACCUUUUAAAAUCCCUUAUUUCCCUUUGUUCCCAUUUUCUAGACACUAUCCCUAAGAUUUUACCUCAGUGUUGUCUUAUAUUUCCUUUGGUCCUUACAAAAGGGGGGAGGGGGGCCAUUCCUUUAGCCGCUUCUGUUUCUUAAUUUCCCCUUUUCUUUCUCUCCCAUCUGGGAAGCAUGGCAAAGGAUUUGGGUGGGGGAGGGGGACUCCCAGAAAAGUGUUGGUUAAAUUUUGUGUGUUUAUGUAAUGUGUGGGCUGUAAACUCUUCUCUACUCAUCCCUUUGCCUUAAAAGCCACCAGUGAUAUAUAGUUUUCUGGGAAGGAGGGCUGGAAUGGACUAGCUUAGUGCUAUGCUCUCUCUCUCUCUCCCUUUUCUUCUGUGCCAUCUCACCUCCCUAUUUUCAAAGGUUCAAGCCCUAAUAUUUUGUGACCCCCCCCCCCCAGAGAAAUCCUGCUGCUUCUGUGGGAUUAACUUUUUUUUUGUCUCUCUCUUCUCGACAUCCCUUAUCUUAGGGACAAAUGGGGGUGGGAAGAAUGCAUGUAUUUUUCUAUAUGUGAGUUUUUUUCUCUCUCUCUCUCCCUUUCACUUCAUGUUUUCCUAGGCCAAAAUGCGCUUCAACAUUCUCCUUUUUCAAAGCUUUCUCUCCCCCCUUCCUUUCCCUGUGAAGGGAACUCCCAGCAUCCCCAUUUUCUCCUUAUAAACAUACAGUCAAAAUCCUGGGUUACUUUUAUAGUAAAGGGCACUCUUUCACUCUCCACAGUUCCCCAACAAUCUCCUUUCUUCCUUUCGGGGUCCUUCUCCCUCCCUUUCCCUGAGUGCAUGCGUGUGAAUGUGUUAAAAUCCCUUCUAACUGGCUUUUAAUAUGAGGGGGGGAGUACAAAGUUCUAGGGAACCCUCCAG